AAUAACAAGAACAACUUUUGUUGCAUCUGCACCUUUUAUAUCCAACAUACUUACUUCCCCGUAUUGUUCAAGAAACUGGAAUCCAGAAAUGAAGUACAACAUAAUGAGAUCUAAAUUAACCAGGUGAUUAUCAUUUUAAUUCAUUACACUAGGAAUGAACUUGUGUUACUUUUAUGUAUAUGGGGGCAAAAAGUGUCGUGUCUGGUAAUGAACAAAAUCAAGAAUUAGGCAAAUGUUUCCUUAUCCGUAAUAGGAACUAAAGGCCAAGGUGUGCAAAAUGAAUUUCAGCACAGAAAGUCCCAGUAGUUACCUUCUUGCAAAGCAAAA
This 327-nucleotide unclassified non-coding RNA is filed under the name Hevea brasiliensis (rubber tree). The record is from RNAcentral. Lineage: Eukaryota; Viridiplantae; Streptophyta; Magnoliopsida; Malpighiales; Euphorbiaceae.